AGAGUUUGAUCAUGGCUCAGAACGAACGCUGGCGGCAGGCCUAACACAUGCAAGUCGAACGAUCUCUUCGGAGAGAGUGGCAGACGGGUGAGUAACGCGUGGGAACCUUCCCUAUGGUACGGAAUAGCUCCGGGAAACUGGAAUUAAUACCGUAUAAGCCCUUCGGGGGAAAGAUUUAUCGCCAGAGGAUGGGCCCGCGUCGGAUUAGCUAGUUGGUAAGUAAUGGCUCACCAAGGCUACGAUCCGUAGCUGGUCUGAGAGGAUGAUCAGCCACACUGGGACUGAGACACGGCCCAGACUCCUGCGGGAGGCAGCAGUGGGGAAUAUUGGACAAUGGGCGAAAGCCUGAUCCAGCCAUGCCGCGUGAGUGACGAAGGCCUUAGGGUUGUAAAGCUCUUUUGGCGGGGACGAUAAUGACGGUACCCGCAGAAUAAGCCCCGGCUAACUUCGUGCCAGCAGCCGCGGUAAUACGAAGGGGGCUAGCGUUGUUCGGAAUCACUGGGCGUAAAGCGCACGUAGGCGGACUGGUCAGUUGGGGGUGAAAUCCCGGGGCUCAACCCCGGAACUGCCUUCAAUACUGCCAGUCUUGAGUCCGAGAGAGGUGAGUGGAAUUCCUAGUGUAGAGGUGAAAUUCGUAGAUAUUAGGAAGAACACCAGUGGCGAAGGCGGCUCACUGGCUCGGUACUGACGCUGAGGUGCGAAAGCGUGGGGAGCAAACAGGAUUAGAUACCCUGGUAGUCCACGCCGUAAACGAUGAGUGCUAGCCGUCGGGUAGCUUGCUAUUCGGUGGCGCAGCUAACGCAUUAAGCACUCCGCCUGGGGAGUACGGCCGCAAGGUUAAACCUCAAAGGAAUUGACGGGGGCCCGCACAAGCGGUGGACAUGUGGUUUAAUUCGAAGCAACGCGCAGAACCUUACCAUCCCUUGACAUCCUCAACGCGAUUUCCGGAGACGGAUUUCUUCAGUUCGGCUGGUUGAGUGACAGGUGCUGCAUGGCUGUCGUCAGCUCGUGUCGGGAGAUGUUGGGUUAAGUCCCGCAACGAGCGCAACCCUCGCCCUUAGUUGCCAGCGUUCAGUUGGGCACUCUAGGGGAACUGCCGGUGAUAAGCCGGAGGAAGGUGGGGAUGACGUCAAGUCCUCAUGGCCCUUACGGGAUGGGCUACACACGUGCUACAAUGGCGGUGACAAUGGGUUAAUCCCCAAAAACCGUCUCAGUUCGGAUUGUCGCCUGCAACUCGGCGGCAUGAAGUUGGAAUCGCUAGUAAUCGCGUAACAGCAUGACGCGGUGAAUACGUUCCCGGGCCUUGUACACACCGCCCGUCACACCAUGGGAGUUGGGUCUACCCGAAGACGGUGCGCCAACCUCGCAAGAGGAGGCAGCCGGCCACGGUGGGUUCAGCGACUGGGGUGAAGUCGUAACAAGGUAGCCGUA
RNAcentral lists this ribosomal RNA (1431 nucleotides) under uncultured prokaryote. RNAcentral describes it as "partial 16S ribosomal RNA". It matches the Rfam family "Bacterial small subunit ribosomal RNA". The record is from RNAcentral.